UACGGAGGGGGCUAGCGUUGUUCGGAAUUACUGGGCGUAAAGCGCACGUAGGCGGAUUGGCAAGUUGGGGGUGAAAUCCCGGGGCUCAACCCCGGAACUGCCUCCAAGACUUCCAGUCUUGAGUCCGAGAGAGGUGAGUGGAAUUCCGAGUGUAGAGGUGAAAUUCGUAGAUAUUCGGAGGAACACCAGUGGCGAAGGCGGCUCACUGGCUCGGUACUGACGCUGAGGUGCGAAAGCGUGGGGAGCAAACAGG
This 253-nucleotide ribosomal RNA is filed under the name uncultured bacterium. Its description in RNAcentral is "partial 16S ribosomal RNA". It matches the Rfam family "Bacterial small subunit ribosomal RNA", at positions 524 to 776 of the family's 1533-position model. The record is from RNAcentral.